UACGGAGGGGGCUAGCGUUGUUCGGAAUUACUGGGCGUAAAGCGCGCGUAGGCGGGCUGUUAAGUCGGGGGUGAAAUCCCGGGGCUCAACCCCGCAACUGCCUUCGAUACUGGCAGCCUAGAGGAAGGCAGAGGCUAGUGGCAUGGCGAGUGUAGAGGUGAAAUUCGUAGAUAUUCGCCGGAACACCAGUGGCGAAGGCGACUGGCUGGGCCUUUUCUGACGCUGAGGUGCGAAAGCGUGUGGAGCAAACAGG
Molecule: ribosomal RNA, 253 nt
Filed under: uncultured bacterium
Lineage: Bacteria
Description: partial 16S ribosomal RNA
Rfam family: Bacterial small subunit ribosomal RNA
Source: RNAcentral